RNAcentral lists this small nucleolar RNA (138 nucleotides) under Pelusios castaneus (West African mud turtle). Lineage: Eukaryota; Metazoa; Chordata; Testudines; Pelomedusidae. The record is from RNAcentral.
CACCUCCCAGGAUCGCAUCUGGAGAGCUUUUAAUACUCUGCCAGCUUCGGAAGCGGGAGGGAGAAAUACUGCAGAGGAAUACCCAUUCCAUUACUAGCUUGCAAGUGGCUAGUUAAUGGAAGUCAAUCUGCUACAGUU